RNAcentral lists this long non-coding RNA (1844 nucleotides) under Gossypium barbadense (sea-island cotton). Its description in RNAcentral is "long non-coding RNA (GBAR_LNC007536)". The record is from RNAcentral. Lineage: Eukaryota; Viridiplantae; Streptophyta; Magnoliopsida; Malvales; Malvaceae.
UGAAAGCAAAGUACUACCCAUUUAGAUUUCUUGCAAGCAAGGUUGGGGAAGUUACCAUCCUUUACCUGGAAAAGCUUAUGGUCAGCGAAAGGUCUACUUGAGAAAGGGAUGGGUUGGAGAGUAGGGUCUGGAAAGCAGAUAUUGAUUUGGAAUGAAGCAUGGGUCCCGGGCACUGAAGAUUAUAAGAUUCAAUCAUCAUAUUUUAAUUAAAAUUUAGUUUAUGUUUCGGACUUAGUUGAACAACAUUGAAAGAGUCAAUAAGAAGUACCUUUCAUCCCAAAGACGCUGAAAGGAUUCUGUGCAUUCCCCUACCCGUUGAGAAAGAAGCUGAUAAAGAUGGUGUGGCGAGACGAAGCCUCGGGGGUUAACACAGUUCGAAGUAGUUACAAAACAUUAUUAUAGAAUGAUCGGGACACAAAUUUACAAUUCAAUCAAAGUCACUAUAAACUUAUGCACAAAAAGCUAUGGCAUGUGGAGUGACCCUCAAAAACAAAAAUCAUGGUAUGGAAAACCAUUAAUAAUUUUCUACUUACUCAAACUAAUCUAUUCCAUCACAAACUGGUAAGCUUAGCAAACUAUAUGAGAUGUCUAAGGAGUGAAGAGUCGACAAAGCAUGUGUUUAGAGACUGUCCAUUCGCAAAUGAUGUUUGGACCAGACUAGGAAUCGGGUGGUCCCUGAAGCAAAAUCAACUACAGUAUAAGGAUUGGAUUCAGAAUUUAUUUGAAAGAGAGUCUAACCAAAGAAUUAGAACAAUAGUGUGUGCAAUAUGGGCAUUGUGGACAGACAGGAAUAAACUUCUUCACGAAAGGAAGAUGCAAACAAGUGCUAAUCUGACUCAUUUCAUCAUCGACUAUUUGCGAGAGUUAGAUGGGGUUAAUAAGAGAUUACCUAUCAGCAAACUGGUGAAUGAAAGCUGGAGACCACCAGAGGAUAUCAAUGUUAAAAUCAACUUUGAUGCUGCAUUUGACAAGCAACAUAAAAGGUCAUGCACAGUAAUAGUGAUUAGAAACUCUAGUGGUCACGUUUUAAAAACAAAAGUUCAUAAUAACAGACACAUACCAUCGACGUUUGCUGCAGAAGCUCUCGUUUGUGUUCAAGCGGUCAGGUUUGGGGCGGAGUCGGGGUUUUUGAGAGUUGAGGUCGAAGGAGACAAGCUAUCAGUUAUUAAGAAGAUACUUUGCGAGGAUGAUGACAGAUCUGAAAUUAGGUCUUACAUUUUAGAUGCUAAAAGAUUAAAGAGUAACUUUAUUAAUUGUAGAUUUAAGCAUGAAGGAAGACGAAUGAACAGAGUAGCACAUAUUUUAGUGAAAGAAGGGCUAAGUGAUGAAGGGAAUGCUUAUCUGGUUAAUGGUCUCUCCAAAUAUGCAGCCUAGGCUGUGAAGGAGGAUAAACGAGAAGGAGGAAUGGAUAACUGUCAGGCCCGGAGUAGGAACAAGGAAGCAAUGAGAUUUUGUUCUGAAACAGUUCAGAACGAAAUUUUUUGAAACGAGUUUUUUGACAUUUUGAGAAUCGAAGAGAGUUUUUGGGUGAAGGCAUUCCUGUUCCAAGUUGCUAAACACUGGUGCAACUAAUUAACGAGUUAAUUCGCUCAUGGUAGGGAUGCCUGAAUCAGAGGUGGGUUUGGUUUGUUGACGGAUUUUUCUAGAGCUUGGAAAUGAAGAAAUGGUGAAGAGAAGAAAAUGGUUAGUCAAAAUGAUGACUAGCUGUGAGUAGAUGUUAGGGUCUUGGUAGGAUAUUUGUUUGUUCAGGGACUGGGUUUUUUUGACAUUUUAGGAUUGGGCUUGUUUUGCUUUUCUUUUAUGGUUGGUUUGAAUUUUUUUUUCUUUAGUUGAUAUUAAUGAAG